AUUAUUUUGGCAGAAUAGUGCGAUUGAUUUAGAAUCAUUAUAUGUAAUUGCUUACAAAUAAUA
RNAcentral lists this transfer RNA (63 nucleotides) under Thyestilla gebleri. RNAcentral describes it as "tRNA-Leu". It matches the Rfam family "tRNA". Rfam says of the family: Transfer RNA (tRNA) molecules are approximately 80 nucleotides in length. Their secondary structure includes four short double-helical elements and three loops (D, anti-codon, and T loops). The record is from RNAcentral. Lineage: Eukaryota; Metazoa; Arthropoda; Insecta; Coleoptera; Cerambycidae.